Poecile atricapillus (Black-capped chickadee) is the source of this 2355-nucleotide long non-coding RNA. RefSeq lists it as uncharacterized. Lineage: Eukaryota; Metazoa; Chordata; Aves; Passeriformes; Paridae. The record is from RefSeq and is a predicted model, not a curated record. The transcript has 2 exons.
CGGAGAGGUGCCUGCAGCAGGGUCUCUGCGGGAACAGCCGGCUGCAGAAACCUCCCCGAGCACCCCCGACCUUGGGCACGGGCGAGCGGAACCCCCGGGGAGAGGGUCCACAGGAGGCGAGGGGCUGUCAGGGACAGGGACAGCGACAGCGACAGGGGAAGGGACAGGGACAGGGGCAGGGGCAGGGACAGCGACAGGGACAGGGACAGGGACAGGGACAGGGACAGGGGCAGGGACAGGGACAGGGGCAGGGACAGGGACAGGGACAGGGGCAGGGACAGGGACAGGGGCAGGGACAGGGACAGGGACAGGGGCAGGGACAGGGACAGGGGCAGGGACAGGGACAGGGACAGGGGCAGGGACAGGGGCAGGGACAGCGACAGGGACAGCGCGGGGCACGGACGGGCGGCAGGAGCAGAGGAUGGGGAGGGCAGCAGGGAAAGGCGAGGGGGAGCAGGCGAGGCCCUGCGGAAACACGAGAGACAGCGAGGUGCAGGGGGUCCGUGCCGGGACAGGCAGCGCGGCCGGAGCCGGGGAGCGGAGCACCGAGAGCCCCGUGGGAGGCAGCCCCGGUGUCCCGGCUGGCCCGGGGGACAGGAGCCGCGAUCCCCGGCAGGACGGUGCAAACCCAGACCCACCCAUCAUGUCUUCAGAACAACCUCAAGAUGGGGAAGAAACUCUGCUCUGAGCUUUUUCUGCAGCUCCUCAGUGUUGUGUCCAUGCACUCAGCCGGCUGUGGCUUUGUGCUGGUUGGGAUUUCGCUCCUCUGUUUACUCUGGGAGUGCCACAACCUGUCACGUUUCACGGGAGCAGCUCCUCAGCGCGCAGCAGACAGACAAGCUUGUGUUUGCCAGCCCAGGUAACAGCACUCCUUUGGAAGGAUGAGGACAGAAAUCACAAGGAUUGUUCCACAGCUGUUUGGCUUGUUUUUCUUGAAAACUGGAGAAAUACUGGACUGACUGAACUUCCCCUCCUCCCCUAGGCACCACUUGCUCCUGCAGACAGGGCUUUUAUCCUGGAAUCUGCCCCACUCCGUGUUAGAGGAGGGGAGCCCUCCUGCAUGCACAGUGCCCCCUGUGCCAGGAGGCGAGUGGGGGGCUUCCCUCUCCUUGGGGAUCCAGCCUUGCUGCUGGCCACACUUCAGGGCAUUCUCAGCACGUGGAAAUGUUGUUGAAAGUUGCCACGUCAGAACAAUUGUAAUAAGUAUUUGUAAGUGCAUAGAGCCUGUCCUGCUUUUGGUGGAGUCCUUCAGGAGUGGUCCAUGGAACUUCAGCUGAGGUUGCCAGGAGGGUGGUCACUUUAGACCUGGUGCUGGCUGCCCAUCUCUGCUGCACUCUGAAUUUGGUGGGUGCAGCAGACUCAGCCCCACACAGUGGGGGACUCUAACUGCAUUUUCAAGUUGGGAAAAGACACUGGAAUGAGCAGGACUUUGAGUGGAUUGGUGCUGUAAGUCAUUUCAGAUACAUGGAACUGGAAAUUCAAAUGUGAUCACAGGUGCUGUGUGGUUGCUCCUAGAGACGUUCCCGUACUAGAGAUGUUUGCAUUUGUACAUUCAGUCUGCAAUAUUCGUGCUACAAACUGUCUCAGAGGGUUGUGUUUUCUGUGUCCAUACCCACACAUUCACUCAGGUCUAUUAAAUACUGUACCAGUCUGUGCAGCUCCUUCCAUUUGUGCCAGUGGUUUAACUGUAGGAAUAACCCCUGCCAGUGCAGCGAGCCCUGAGCUUCAGUGUCUGUCCCUGCCUGCCAGGGCUGACUGAUGUGCUGAGUGUUUGUGCCACUAAAGCUGCCUUGAGCAGGUACCCCUGUAAAGCUCCUGCCCUGGGCACACCUGGGCGUGCAGACACACCGGUGGCAAUUCCAGGGUUGCAGGUGAGCAAAGACAGAGAGGGAUGCAGGGAUUUGCCUUUGCAGAGAUACCCUGGGAGCCCCUCCAGGGCUGCAGGAGACCCAGGGCAUCAGAGAAGGCUUUGGUGAACAGAGCAGUGUGACUGUAAGGAACUGGAAUGCAGACAGUUCAUUAUUUGACAUUCUUCAAGUAUUUAUAAGUGACUCUUAUGUGUAUGGUUGUAACAGUUGGGGGAAAGAAUCCUAUGGUUAGGAACACAUAUGUGGACUUCCAAAACAUAAGUGUCCCUGUCAUUUGAGCAGGCAGAAGUUUGGUAAGCAAAACCAUAGAAAUGGAUAAUUGUACAGGUUUGGAAAAGCUUCCCAUGGUUCUUUCUCCUCUCCUAUAUGGUGCUAAUUAGUAAUUAACUUCAAAGUGAAAAGUAGGUUGCACUUUGGGAAAAACAAGAUGUGCAGCAAAAAGGAAAAAAGAGUAAUUAUUAAAGUGAGCAUAUGUGAGCAAAGCAAA